This is a non-coding RNA of Pristionchus pacificus, 61 nucleotides long. The record is from Rfam. NCBI's taxonomy places the organism in Eukaryota, Metazoa, Nematoda, Chromadorea, Rhabditida, Neodiplogasteridae.
UCUUCAUUUAUCACGCUCUCUCACCGGUCAGAGUGAAGAGAGAGUGUGCAAAAUGAAGAAA